RNAcentral lists this ribosomal RNA (1447 nucleotides) under uncultured organism. RNAcentral's name for it is "SSU rRNA". It matches the Rfam family "Bacterial small subunit ribosomal RNA". The record is from RNAcentral.
GGCUCAGGAUGAACGCUAGCUACAGGCUUAACACAUGCAAGUCGAGGGGCAGCAUUUUAGUUUGCUUGCAAACUAAAGAUGGCGACCGGCGCACGGGUGAGUAACACGUAUCCAACCUGCCGAUAACUCGGGGAUAGCCUUUCGAAAGAAAGAUUAAUAUCCGAUAGCAUAUUGAGAUCGCAUGAUUUUGAUAUUAAAGAAUUUCGGUUAUCGAUGGGGAUGCGUUCCAUUAGUUUGUUGGCGGGGUAACGGCCCACCAAGACUACGAUGGAUAGGGGUUCUGAGAGGAAGGUCCCCCACAUUGGAACUGAGACACGGUCCAAACUCCUACGGGAGGCAGCAGUGAGGAAUAUUGGUCAAUGGACGAGAGUCUGAACCAGCCGAGUAGCGUGAAGGAUGACUGCCCUAUGGGUUGUAAACUUCUUUUAUAUGGGAAUAAAGUAUUCCACGUGUGGGAUUUUGUAUGUACCAUAUGAAUAAGGAUCGGCUAACUCCGUGCCAGCAGCCGCGGUAAUACGGAGGAUCCGAGCGUUAUCCGGAUUUAUUGGGUUUAAAGGGAGCGUAGGUGGAUUGUUAAGUCAGUUGUGAAAGUUUGCGGCUCAACCGUAAAAUUGCAGUUGAAACUGGCAGUCUUGAGUACAGUAGAGGUGGGCGGAAUUCGUGGUGUAGCGGUGAAAUGCUUAGAUAUCACGAAGAACUCCGAUUGCGAAGGCAGCUCACUAGACUGCAACUGACACUGAUGCUCGAAAGUGUGGGUAUCAAACAGGAUUAGAUACCCUGGGUAGUCCACACAGUAAACGAUGAAUACUCGCUGUUUGCGAUAUACAGUAAGCGGCCAAGCGAAAGCAUUAAGUAUUCCACCUGGGGAGUACGCCGGCAACGGUGAAACUCAAAGGAAUUGACGGGGGCCCGCACAAGCGGAGGAACAUGUGGUUUAAUUCGAUGAUACGCGAGGAACCUUACCCGGGCUUAAAUUGCAUUUGAAUAAUCUGGAAACAGGUUAGCCGUAAGGCAAAUGUGAAGGUGCUGCAUGGUUGUCGUCAGCUCGUGCCGUGAGGUGUCGGCUUAAGUGCCAUAACGAGCGCAACCCUUAUCUUUAGUUACUAACAGGUUAUGCUGAGGACUCUAGAGAGACUGCCGUCGUAAGAUGUGAGGAAGGUGGGGAUGACGUCAAAUCAGCACGGCCCUUACGUCCGGGGCUACACACGUGUUACAAUGGGGGGUACAGAAGGCAGCUACCUGGUGACAGGAUGCUAAUCCCAAAAACCUCUCUCAGUUCGGAUCGAAGUCUGCAACCCGACUUCGUGAAGCUGGAUUCGCUAGUAAUCGCGCAUCAGCCAUGGCGCGGUGAAUACGUUCCCGGGCCUUGUACACACCGCCCGUCAAGCCAUGAAAGCCGGGGGUACCUGAAGUACGUAACCGCAAGGAGCGUCCUAGGGUAAAACUG